Long non-coding RNA from Protopterus annectens (West African lungfish), 2562 nucleotides. RefSeq lists it as uncharacterized. The record is from RefSeq and is a predicted model, not a curated record. The transcript has 2 exons. NCBI's taxonomy places the organism in Eukaryota, Metazoa, Chordata, Ceratodontiformes, Protopteridae.
GGUAAAGCUUAAGGGUGAUAGAGCUCAGAGAAUUCCAACAAAUACUGAGAAAUUGUUUUCUCUUUUUACUCAUUUUAAUUGUCUGUCCUAAAAAAAAAAAUCUGGUGGGCUGGAAAAUCAAAACAAACCUUACCGAAAGUGAAAAUACCAGCACAGACUUGGUAGCAGCAGCUGUGAACUAUAGAACUCAGAAUGAAUUCCUCAAGAAGGAUACAAGCUCUUCGCACUCACAGGCAGAAAGAUUCCAUAUGCAGAGGAAAGAACUGGCCUAGCUCAUGUGCUUUUACACAAGAAUGGGGUCAUGAUGAAUUGGCUACCUACACCAUGAUUCUGAUGAUCGUUCUUAUAGCAUUCUGGGGUACAUGGACAAAAAGAGAUCUCGGCGUAUAGCUUUUAAACUGCACUGUGUAUACAGAAGAAGUUCAAGUGAACUUGGUGCAAAUCACAGGAAUUGUGAAAAUGAAGUUCACCCAGAUUUUAGCCGUGAGCAGGAGAAAGAGAUGCAGCAAUGCAUGAUUCAUUCUGAGAAAUGAAAGAACAGAAAAGUGAUGAUCAACAACAUGAAAACCAACAAACAAGAAAUGUGGUAUAGCAUAAGUAAAUAUUGCAGUAAUAAGGCUACAUACCCACACAAUGCAUGGGGACAUCAGCCAUAUUUUUCUCAAGGCUGCUAAUGUGUUUUGCAAGGCUCUUGCCUGUAUGCUGAAAAUGUCUGGCAACAUUUGCCAAGACUUUAUUUUGUAAAUCCCCCUGCCAUAUGAUGAACUAAAUAAAAAUGCUGGAAUCCUUCUCAUAUUCCUAUUAGCUCCAAUGCUAAAAGCUCCCCAGUGUAAACAAAAAAAGAAUGUAGAAACAUUAUAAAUUAAUCACAUGGGAAAUGUUAUUUAGAGCUUCUGAGUGCUUUGCAGAAACUUUAAUGUAGAAGCCAUAGUGUUAAAUUCUAGUACACAGCAGGACAGACUGCACCCAAAGAUAUUCUACAACUCUAAGAUGCACUACAUUUUUCAGGUUGUUAGGUACUGUCAAGGUACUGUGAAUUUUUUUUUUCUUUCAAAGAGGUACUAUGAAUCUGAGUGCUGGAUAAUCAGUUAGGUUGAAUUAUUUUUUAGUUAAGUUUAUUUCUGAAAUUAUAUGUCUCACUAGGUCUUCAAGGGGACUUGAAGUGCACAGUCAUUUUUACAUAUUUUAUAAAGACCACAUUAUGGUCAAGAUGUAAUGUUUGGUUCUGAAACCAAUUAAAGGGGUCUUUGUUUUGAGUGUAGCUUAAUUUCCAACAGUGCUGACUGGUAUUUUUAGCUGUAGUUUAGAAUUAACAUUUCUAAAACAUAAUACAAUUUUUAAUAGGCACCGUAGUGCUGUUAUGGAAACUACAAGCUGUUUCCUUUUUAUGAAGAAAAGAAAGAUUUAUUGUUAUAACAGAUGUUCAGGGCAAGUAUAUGUGUGUGCAUUAAAGUAUGCAUGUACACAGAGGUGCAUGUGGGUACAUAUGUAGCACAUGUUUGUGUGACAGAGAUGGAGAGUGGUCGGUAUUCUGCCACAGAAUGCCUUUGACCUGGUCAUCUGGUACUAAGGCAGGACAACCAUUUCUACCCUUAGUGCUCAAGGAGCAGUUAUUGGUCCUGGAUUCAGAGGGCUUUUUAAGUGGAACUAGGAACAAAUGCUUAAUAGCAUGCUUGCCCAUCAUGGAAGGGUGUAUACAAAAUUCAGUUGCAUCAAGACUGACUUCUGGUAGACGCCACACUUUUCAGCAUACUGUUUCAUGAUACUCCCACAUUAACAUGAGUAUAUAGAAGAUAUAUUCAUUUACAUAGGAUGGAUACUGCAUGAAGGGGGAUAGUGGCUAGUUAAAGGUUGCACAUAAUGUUUCUACAAUAAGUUUGGGGGUACCUCCUUCAGUACUCACUCCAAUGGGAACAAAUGGGGAACUUGGGCAGUGAGUGGCUUCUCAUUCAGCAUUCCUGUAGGUAAGUUGUUAGUCCCCUAAAUACUCUUAUGUGUAUGUCCCAUGUAAGUGUGUAUGCAACCAUGUGUGCAUGUCUGUGUUUGUGUGUGCAUGCACACAUACAUGUGUCUGUGUUGGUGUAUGAGCGCAUACAUGCAUGUGUUUGUGUGUACAUAUAUGUAUGUAUGUUUAAGUUUGGGCUGGAAUAGGUUCCAGCUCCCUAGUGACUCUGUAAUGGACUAAGUGGGUAAUUGGAGAAUGAACAAAUAUAUGUGGAUAUAUAUGUAUGCGUUUAUGUAGACAGAUACAGACACACUGAGCAUGCAUUAAUAGUAUUAUUUUGCUCCUGGACCUCUCAUGACAAUACAUUCAUGUCACCUAAUCUUCCAUCAUUAACAGAUACUUACACAAUGAGUGGUUCUUUCAUUGUACAACUUUUCCUUCAUUGUCACCACUUCACAUUUGCUUUUAAGUGAUUUAAUAUGGUUAACACUGUAAACUUUGUACCCAAACUCACCUAAUGUGAAUUGUUUUAAAGUAGUAUAGAAAGAAUAUAUAGUACACAUUGACAGGGAAGUGGUUAGUUUGCGUAUCUCAGGGUUUGUGUAAUGGUGUAUUAC